CUGUUAUUGGAAUUUGAUAGUUGUGCGAUGGGGUUCAUACCUUAACUGCCAAAACGGGACCCCUUUUGGGGUAUAAAUCUUGUAAAAGGAUUAUAUUCCGUACUAAGGAUAUUUGAUAAUAUCCGGAAUGUCUAGAGACUACACGGCAAGCCAAUUGGUGGUAUGAAUGGAUAGUCCCUAGUUUUUUUUACCAUCUAGGUAUCCCAUACAAAAUGGUAA
RNAcentral lists this self-splicing intron (219 nucleotides) under Naegleria sp. NG872. RNAcentral's name for it is "GIR1 branching ribozyme". It matches the Rfam family "GIR1 branching ribozyme". From Rfam's summary of the family: GIR1 branching ribozyme also namend lariat-capping (LC) ribozyme is a natural ribozyme with similarity to group I introns, the LC ribozyme catalyzes cleavage by a 2',5' branching reaction, leaving the 3' product with a 3-nt lariat cap that functionally substitutes for a conventional mRNA cap in the downstream pre-mRNA encoding a homing endonuclease. The record is from Rfam by way of RNAcentral. Lineage: Eukaryota; Heterolobosea; Eutetramitea; Acrasida; Naegleriidae.